UACGUAGGGGGCGAGCGUUGUCCGGAUUUAUUGGGCGUAAAGAGCGUGUAGGCGGUUCGGUAAGUCUGUCGUGAAAUCCUGAGGCUCAACCUCGGACGUGCGAUGGAUACUGCCGGGCUAGAGGAUGGUAGAGGCGAGUGGAAUUCCCGGUGUAGCGGUGAAAUGCGCAGAUAUCGGGAGGAACACCAGUAGCGAAGGCGGCUCGCUGGGCCAUUCCUGACGCUGAGACGCGAAAGCUAGGGGAGCAAACGGG
This 253-nucleotide ribosomal RNA is filed under the name uncultured bacterium. RNAcentral's name for it is "partial 16S ribosomal RNA". It matches the Rfam family "Bacterial small subunit ribosomal RNA", at positions 524 to 776 of the family's 1533-position model. The record is from RNAcentral.